GUGGGCACUGCGGCGGCGACGGUGGCGACGGCCGCGGCCUUGGCUCCGGCCAUGGCAGCCUCUGCAGUUACCAAUCAACACAGGCGUGUUAGUUUGGGUCUAGUUCCAGGCUUUCAGUAGACAGGACUGCACAUAACUGCAAUGCACUCCUAGAAUAGAACGGCGAGAGCAUUGCCGGCACAGUGAACCGGCGGGGCAUCAUAUCGUUUUGGUUACCUCUGGAGCAGCGCUUGGCUGCGGCGAGCCUCUGGUCGAGGUAGGCGCCGGUCACCGUAGACAUCUUCGCCGGAGCAAAGCUUGGUGGCAGGAGACCCGAAGGAAGUGAACUACUCGUGACUUCUUAGGCCCUGUUUUGUUACAAAUAAGUCACCAACUUAUAAGUUAAAAAUGCAAAAAAUGACUUAUUUUGCCAAAAGGGCCUAACUUAUAAGUCACCCUAACUUAUAAGUCAUAAGUUGCGAUACCCUAGCUUAAAACUUAUAAGUCACUUACUUUUUGAUGGGUCCCACCACCUUUUCAGCCGUGCCCACCGCCCACCCGUGCCCACCGCCCCAUCCGCUCCCCACCGCGUAGCGCGCCUCGCCGCCGCUCCCACCGCGCAGCGCGCCUUGCCGCCGCCGAGCUCCA
RNAcentral lists this long non-coding RNA (627 nucleotides) under Hordeum vulgare. RNAcentral describes it as "long non-coding RNA (HVUL_LNC017616)". Lineage: Eukaryota; Viridiplantae; Streptophyta; Magnoliopsida; Poales; Poaceae. The record is from RNAcentral.